AGUUAGCCGAUGCUUAUUCCUCAGGUAACGUCAUUGAUUUCCUCCCUGNGAAAAGAGGUUUACAACCCAUAGGCCGUCAUCCCUCACGCGGUAUUGCUCCGUCAGGCUUUCGCCCAUUGCGGAAAAUUCCCCA
RNAcentral lists this ribosomal RNA (133 nucleotides) under uncultured bacterium. RNAcentral describes it as "partial 16S ribosomal RNA". The record is from RNAcentral.